This is a long non-coding RNA of Loxodonta africana (African savanna elephant), 627 nucleotides long. RefSeq lists it as uncharacterized. The record is from RefSeq and is a predicted model, not a curated record. The transcript is spliced from 2 exons. Lineage: Eukaryota; Metazoa; Chordata; Mammalia; Proboscidea; Elephantidae.
UCCCUCGGUCGGUGUGUGAGCGAGUCUCCCUCCCUCCCUCUAAUGCAGGAAAUGCGCAAAAGACGUCAGUGUGUGUGUGUGUGUGCGUGUGUGUGUGUAUGUGUGUGUAUGUGUGUGUGUAUGUGUGUGAGUGCGCGCGCGCGCGCGCGCGGGUGCGCGCGGCAGUGUUUAGGGAAAUAGAAAGUUUUGCCGGUUGGGGGAGCAAUACGGGAAAAGUGAGCCAAGGAGAGAACUGCAAAGAGCGGACGAGCCUGCCCGGGUCGCGGCGGCUGAAGCGGGGAGCAGGGCCGAGACUCAGCGCGGGACCCCGGGAGUGGUGGGCUUGGGGACGGGAGCGAGCGCGGCGGAUGUCAGAUGCGAUCUUGGAGGCGAGCGGGCCGCGCAUCUCACGCGGUCUCCAGGGCCAAGCCUGCCUUCUGGAGUUUGGGGCGGGGGAGCCGGGCCGAGGGAAGCGAGGGUCUUGUUUGCCGAUAAGACUCGGGCACCUCCCCCAGCUCCACCCCCCAGCCGGGCAGUGGCCUGCGACAGCAGCCCAAGGAGUAUCGGGGGAAGCGUUCUCCACUGUGGGAUUGUCCUGGUCUCGGAUUGCAAGAACUUGUUGACAAAUGAAAACUCGGUGGAACCCGG